UGUUUUGCUCUGACUGCAUCUCCCUGUGGAAGGGGUCUUGCCUGUACAAGUAUGCAGUGCUUGAGUUCUUAGAUUUUAAAUUUUAAUUAAUGACUUGAAAAGUCUUUUUACUGCCUUGCACAGCUCCCUAAUCAGUUGUUACAUUGCAUCCAUCUGCUAUCAUCCCAGUAGGUCCUUUCUGUAGGCAGGAACAGGGGAAUCUCUGCAACUGAGGAUUUUUGGUUGACAGAAGACUGCGCUCGUCAGGCAGCAUUUGUGAAAAUUAAGGACGGGAGUAUUAAGAAGGUUGUAAUUUCAUUUGCUUCUUACCAGGGUCUGACUAAAUUUUCAUUCUCAGACUUUGCUUGAAGUAUGAUUAAGGCUAUGGACAGCUCUAGGAGGGCUUAGAAUGUUUAAAUAAUACAGUUGCUGAUUAAAAUAUUAAUACAGGGUGGUUUUGGGAGGAGAUUCAGCUUUAUGAGUCGGUCCUGAGGUUUUCCCCCUGCCUACAGCUCCUCUGGUGGGAUGGAUUGUUGCCAUAGGCCCUUUCUAUUAGCCUGGUGUGUUUGUCCAGGUGUCUGCCUCUUCCAUAAAAGGUGGGGAUUGCUGGACCUGGCAUAUACUCAGCAAGUGCUGCAGCAAAGAAAAGUGACACAAAGUGUUUACUUGAUGAUUUUACUUUUAUGUCUCAGAUUAAUGUGUCCUCUCACCACUGGAAUUUUUAUGGAGAAGCUUACCAACAAGAACCUGUGUACUGAUGAUGACUUGCUGAAUACAACGGGCUGAACACAAUAUGCUGUGUGCACAUCCGAGUGUGGUGUUGGAUUGCCUGCCUUCCCUCAGGCACUUAAAAUUGGCCAUUUGCUGGCUGAGUACUCUGGUUACCAGGAAGCAGAUGUUCUGCAGCAGCUCCCUGUCUCCUGUUUCCAAUGGGCAGCUAUGUGGGAUACACUGGAUACACUGCUCUGAUGCAGAUGAGCAAAAGAGUGUGAUAAUUCCCUGCGGCAGAAUCCAGAUUUACGUAAGCAGAUGAGGUAAUAGCAGGAAGGAAGCAACAUGCUCUGGAAGUAUUUUCCCUGCCAGAAGUUUUCAAGCAAAAUACUGGGAUUUAUUUUCUAGUCAGCAGUUCUCUAAGUGUACAGUCUAAGUCAUCCUUUUCAUGUGGGAUUAGGAAUUGUUUAAGGAUAAAGGGUUACAUAUGACUAACCAUUCCAGGUAUUGGAUUGUAGGAAUACAAAAGAAAACAAACAAAAAAAGGAAGAUAAAUGAGUUUGAAAUUCAGAGAGAAGGAGGUAUAGUCUAAUUAAUUUUAAGAAUUCAAGGCAGGAACAAAUUAUCUGAGCUGUGCAAAAUGAGUCAAAAGACAAAACACCUCUUUCUUUUCCAGAGUCCUUUGAAUCAACUAUGGCGUACUUUGUGUAUAUUAUAACAUAUUCACUUACCUUUGAAGUGCAAUAAAAGAAUGUUUAAUCU
Long non-coding RNA from Melospiza georgiana, 1452 nucleotides. RefSeq lists it as uncharacterized. The record is from RefSeq and is a predicted model, not a curated record. The transcript has 2 exons. NCBI's taxonomy places the organism in Eukaryota, Metazoa, Chordata, Aves, Passeriformes, Passerellidae.